UACGUAGGGUGCGAGCGUUGUCCGGAUUUAUUGGGCGUAAAGAGCUCGUGAGGCGGUUUGUCGCGUCGGCCGUGAAAUCUCCAACGGCUUAACGCUGGAGCGUGCGGGUCGGAUACGGGCAGACUUGAGUUCGGUAGGGGAGACUGGAAUUCCUGGUGUAGCGGUGAAAUGCGCAGAUAUCAGGAGGAACACCACGGCGAAGGCAGCUCGCUAGGACGGUACUGACGCUGAGGCGCGAAAGCGUGGGAGCAAACAGG
This 257-nucleotide ribosomal RNA is filed under the name uncultured bacterium. RNAcentral describes it as "partial 16S ribosomal RNA". It matches the Rfam family "Bacterial small subunit ribosomal RNA", at positions 524 to 776 of the family's 1533-position model. The record is from RNAcentral.